UACGGAGGGUCCAAGCGUUAUCCGGAUUUAUUGGGUUUAAAGGGUGCGUAGGCGGUUUGAUAAGUUAGAGGUGAAAUACCGGUGCUUAACACCGGAACUGCCUCUAAUACUGUUGAACUAGAGAGUAGUUGCGGUAGGCGGAAUGUAUGGUGUAGCGGUGAAAUGCUUAGAGAUCAUACAGAACACCGAUUGCGAAGGCAGCUUACCAAGCUAUUUCUGACGUUGAGGCACGAAAGCGUGGGGAGCAAACAGG
This 253-nucleotide ribosomal RNA is filed under the name uncultured bacterium. RNAcentral's name for it is "partial 16S ribosomal RNA". It matches the Rfam family "Bacterial small subunit ribosomal RNA", at positions 524 to 776 of the family's 1533-position model. The record is from RNAcentral.